GGGGAACACAGGGAAGAGGGGAAACGUUUCUCAGUUUAGAAAGUAAUAAUGCAGCUUAAUUGUAGUGGCAGCUGGCAGCGUGAGGCAAAGUGAGGUGACGCCCAAUUACUGCACUUGGCAGCUGUUUGCUCUGCUGAGUGUACUGAUGGAGGGUGGCAGGCUCCUUCCAGCAGGCGGGUUGGAGAUGAAGACUGGGAGAUGCACCAGGAGGGAGAUCCCUCUGAUCCCAAACAGAGGGGUGGGGAACUCCGAGCUGCUCCCAAAGGGACCGGGCAGAAAAAGGCAAGGCAAGGAAGCCCAUCUGAGAAUGGAGACCAAUUCCAUCUUCAGGAAAGGUGUAGAAAUAGAAAGAAACAUGAACAGAGUGGAAGAAGUCAGUGUGAAAAAGCGUCAGAGCCAAGGGAGCCCUCGGAGCCUUCUGCUAACACCACUGCUGAGUUGUCUGCAGUUGUCUGGGCCACCUCAUCUCUUCAGAGCUGCCCUCGCCAUCCACAUCUCCUGCCAUCCUAGCCUGGCGUCGGUCCAUCUGUCCAUCCCCUCUUUAGUUCAACCUCUCCCUUUGCAUCUCCUCUGCUGAAAUCACAUCACCGUUGGUUUCUCCCAUCCUCCUCCAAAAGGGGAUUUUCAUCAAGUCUGCACUCGCAGACAACCUUAGAAAACAGAGACUCUGCCUUGCUAGGAGGAGAGGAAGGACUUUGGAGAGCCUCAUCUCGCUCACACGCCCUGCGUCUGCAUGGGCGCCCGUGGUUUUGCAACCCAGCAGACAGCAAUAGCUGAUAUUUUUAGUGCUGCCAGACACUCGAUACCUGCCAAGGUCACUUUCUGACAAAAGCGAUGAUGAGCCGGCAUGGCAGUGUGUAACAACCCCGUCACUUCCCAGCAAUUGGCUUUAACGUGCGUGCAGCCACUUGCCAAGGCGAGAUGCAGCUGGCGAGGCACGACUGCGGCUGCUGCACGGCUGCGCCUCUGCCCCUGCUCAGUGCGUGGCCCUGGGUCCUGUGCAGCUGCUGAACACUGUGCUGCUGAGCAAUGGGCUUUGCUGGGAUGCUGCUGGAGCAACAGCUGCCCUCUGUUUGGGACUGAGCAUCGUCUCGUCACUCAUUUCACUCAUGGGGAGACAAAACCCGGACAAGCGCACGUUGAGUGGGAAAAAAAAGGACAGCCUGAUUUGUUUUCCUCUAAGCCCUGUGUGAUGAAUGCCGCGGAGGAAAAAAGCAGGACUGUCAGAACUGGGAGAGAAAAUCAUUUCUCUCUUCUUGUUCCAUGAACCCAAGUGGUUAAAAUGAGCACCAAGGAAAGGAGGGAAUUUAUUCCUCUGCCUGUGGGCAGCGGAACUCCCAGGCGCAUCCAUGCCACCAGGUGGGACUACUUUAUAUUGUAACUCUGCUGUGGUCAGCUAUUAUCUCAUAGACCCGUCUUCUACUGAACUCCCCCUCUCCUUCUUUAGGCAGAUAAAAGCCUGUCUGCAACUUCAGAGUCAGCUCAGGUGACUCUGGGUGGGAGAUGCAUCCCCGUCCACACUCAGACACUGCAAGAGGCAAACUCCAAAUGGAGGUGACAGCCUCGUGGGCAGUGGUGAACUGGGCUGGCAGCUUCUCUGCACUGCCCAAACAGAACGAUUUUGCACGUCCGGUGCCUUCUGCAAGUGUUAAUGAACUAACCCUUAUGAUAACUCUCUGAAGGAAGAGCUCCAUGCAGAGGGGAAGGCGAGGCCAAGGCUCAGCACAGCUUGCAGGGCAUGGAAAAAUCUCCAUGGCUCAAACAGCUGUCAAGCAUUGCUGGUAGGAACAGUGCAGAUCAGAAGAAAACUACAUUUAUUCCAUCCUUAAAUCAAAUUAGUGGCUAAGGAAGGUAAACUGAGGCAUAGUUCAUCACAUUAAGAUCUUAAAGCCUAGAGCAAGCGUCAGACCACAAAGGCUGAGCUCGAGUGGCACACACCAGACAGUUCCCUCCAGCUGCAGAUUACUGUCUCUGCUAAAUGACUUUAAACCUAAUGACACGUGACACGCAAAGAUCAGACUGCUCAGCACUGCAAGAAAUCCAGUGAGAAUGAUGGUUUAUGAAGAACAAACCUCAGGAGGAUCCCAUGCAACCCAGCACAAAUAUCACUUUGGAUGGGAAGGAAUGCUGGAACAGUGGAUUUGCAAUCUCACCAACAUGUAAAAGCUGGGCUGGAUGUUUAGGAGGAGGUGAUUGUCACGGUGUGCCUGGGCAGAGGCCAUACUGACCACAGAAAGCAAGAUUCAGACACUGAAAAAUUGACCAUUUCAAGAUUAAACUACAAAUUUAUAUCUGACUUAUCAUUUUCCUCUUAAUGCAUGAACGUCUUAUCUGAAGCUCAGCAGAGCUGCACGCUCCUGCAGGCUAUGGAAAGCAAUUUUCUUAAUGAAAGAAUAUUAGCUCAACAAGCUAACAAACCCUGAUCUUUGACAGUGACCGCCUGACUGCCCAUCCCAUCGGGAUGGCGGGGUGGACAUGCUCAGGCCAUGACCUGAAAUGCAGUCAAAAGCCCCAGCAGCAGUAGAGAAGUGACGAAACCAAUGACCACGUGGACACCAACCUGGGAGUUUCUGAGUCCUAAAACAGCAAGGAAAUGACUGGGGGAGAUGCUGAGAUGGACCUGAGAAGUCAAGGAUGGAAAAAUCCAUCUGCUACUGCUCAGAUGGCAUACCCAGAAGUCACAGUUGUUCUUCUAGAGCUGGGAAGCAGCUCUGGCAGCCUGAGCUGAUGCUGAGUCCUCCAGUCCUGCCUGCUCACCUCUGUCACUGGACAUUUAUUGACUGGGGAGGGAUUAACAAGGAGGGGGGCCUGAAAGCUGAACCAAACCUUGGAACAUGCUGCUCUGACCACGGAACAUGAGAGAUGGCAUCGGAUGUGAUGGCAAUAACCUCCCCUGUCUAAUUUGUCAUCAAGAAAGCUUCAAAUUGGAAAACAUAACAGUAACAGUACCUUUCCAAGAGGGCACAUGUAACUCUUUCCAAGCUCAGACCACCAGCACGUGCUGCCUAUGCAGGAUGAGGAACCAUGCUGAAGGUUUCAGCCAGCCAUUCUGGGCUUCCCAGUGAAAAAUAAGCUUUACUUCACCCAACCAUCACCGUCCAUCACCUCCUUGAACACCCACAGCCGCUGUGGACGUGGCCACGAUGUAAAGGGACUGCAUCACGUGCCCAGAGAUGUGUGUGAUCUGCUCGGGGUGCUGGAGAUCUCGCUUGCCUCCUCCAGCUACACGCUGUGAUGCCACCAACCCCACAGCCCUGCGGGACCGGAGGUGACUUUGUGCUGAGCUGUGAAGUCAGGCCGAGAAACAGGCAGCUUUUCUGGGGCAUCUUCCUCCUCCUUGCAGCAAUGUAAAACACGGUGUCAUUAUUUUCCUUUAUUAAAGUGGAACAAACUUAAGAUGCUUAAACGUUGAUUAAAGGCUUUGAUCUCUGAAAGUGCGAUUAGUGUCCUUCUGUCGAGGAAAGUCACUUUGAGGAAUGUAUAUGCUGAUUCCACAUAAUCCCCCCAUUAAUUCUGUGUCAGAUACAGUGUUUACUGGAAGCACACGACAAGCCUUUUCUUCUUCCUUUUUUUUUCCCCUACGAAUUGUUCUUAACCCGGCAUUUCCGUGCAGUUUGCCCCAUUAUGUAUGGAGAUGGAAGGGAUAAGGGGACAGCCUGAAGGUGUGGCUCUGCAAGGGGUGAACACCACAGCAACCAGCAGCCAAGGGGGUACGAUGCUCCUCUACAGAAUUCCACCACUCAGGCUCUCCUACGGCUUUGUAGGGGAAAGACAGCCAGCAGCAUUCCCUGGGCUCGGGUCUGGGAGCCCCCCUGGCUGCAAUGAGGAGGCAGAAGUUUGUGCCUCAGUCUCCCCAUUUGCAAAGCACAAAUGUUUCAGUCUACGCACAAGCCUUCCACCACUGCAUGCUGUUCCUGCUCCAAGCACAUCCCCAACCUGUUGGCAGUGCCCGUUCAUUCUGCUGCUGGCAUCUCCUCGUGCAGGGGUUUCCAACCAGACCAGCAUGGUGGUAGAAGCAGAGGCGGUUCCCUUUGGGGUCACUCUCUGAGGAGGAUGAAGCUGUUAUUGUACAUCACUGCUGUACUAAUCCAGCAUUUCAGUUUUAGUUUUAGAAACCAAAGAAAGUCUGACACAGAUUCAGACCAGAGCAC
This is a long non-coding RNA of Gallus gallus (chicken), 4151 nucleotides long. The record is from Ensembl. NCBI's taxonomy places the organism in Eukaryota, Metazoa, Chordata, Aves, Galliformes, Phasianidae.